RNAcentral lists this microRNA precursor (154 nucleotides) under Melampsora larici-populina 98AG31. RNAcentral's name for it is "microRNA MIR807". Lineage: Eukaryota; Fungi; Basidiomycota; Pucciniomycetes; Pucciniales; Melampsoraceae. The record is from RNAcentral.
AGUCACAUAUGGGUAAAACAUAUUCAGACAUGGGUGAAUGUAAUCAAUUGUAUGUGAAUACCAUUCACCCACAGUUCACAUAUGGGUGAAUGCUGUUUACCCCUAUGUGAAUGUCAUUCACCCAUAUGUGAAUGUCAUUCACCCACAUGUGAAU